UGCCAGCAGCCGCGGUAAUACGGAGGGGGUUAGCGUUGUUCGGAAUUACUGGGCGUAAAGCGCACGUAGGCGGAUUAGAAAGUUAGAGGUGAAAUCCCAGGGCUCAACCCUGGAACUGCCUUCAAAACUACAUUUCUUGAGUUUGGUAGAGGAGAGUGGAAUUCCUAGUGUAGAGGUGAAAUUCGUAGAUAUUAGGAGGAACACCGAUGGCGAAGGCACUUUACUGGGCUAUUACUGACACUCAGAGACGAAAGCUAGGGUAGCAAAUGGGAUUAGAUA
This 279-nucleotide ribosomal RNA is filed under the name uncultured bacterium. RNAcentral describes it as "partial 16S ribosomal RNA". It matches the Rfam family "Bacterial small subunit ribosomal RNA", at positions 506 to 784 of the family's 1533-position model. The record is from RNAcentral.